RNAcentral lists this small nuclear RNA (18 nucleotides) under Arabidopsis thaliana (thale cress). Its description in RNAcentral is "snRNA_11536". Lineage: Eukaryota; Viridiplantae; Streptophyta; Magnoliopsida; Brassicales; Brassicaceae. The record is from RNAcentral.
GAGUUUGUGCGUGAAUCU